Molecule: ribosomal RNA, 337 nt
Filed under: uncultured bacterium
Lineage: Bacteria
Description: bacterial SSU rRNA
Rfam family: Bacterial small subunit ribosomal RNA
Source: RNAcentral
GCAGCCUGACGCAGCGACGCCGCGUGAGGGAUGAAGGCCUUCGGGUUGUAAACCUCUGUCGUGCGGGACGAAAGGGUCCGGGCUAAUACCCCGGGGGCCUGGCCGGACCCUCCAAAGAAGCCCCGGGUUACUUCCGGGCCACCGCCCGCGUAAAACCUAAGGGGGCAACCUUUAUCCGAAUUAUUGGGGGUAAAAGGGGCGGAAGGCGCCCGCUUAAUCCGGAGUGAAAACCCCGGGCUUCACCCGGGAAAUUGCUUCGAAACCGGGUGGCUUUGAUGCGGGGAAGGGGAGUGGAAUUUCCGGGUGUAGAGGGAAAAUGCUUAAAUUUCGGGAGAAA